CUCGGAUCAGGUAGGGAUACCCGCUGAACUUAAGCAUAUCAAUAAGCCGGAGGAAGAACUUACCAUUACCUCAACUGGCGGGUUUUCAGCGGUGCUUUUGUGCCACUGAUGCCACUGUUUGAGUUCCCAUGCUUUUUGCGUACAAUUGUUUUUCCAGCGGGGUUUCUGCCUACGGAUAUCAAUCCAUUUGUAUUUGCGUCAUGUCGAAAA
Molecule: ribosomal RNA, 210 nt
Filed under: Leptosphaeria sclerotioides
Lineage: Eukaryota; Fungi; Ascomycota; Dothideomycetes; Pleosporales; Leptosphaeriaceae
Description: partial 28S ribosomal RNA
Source: RNAcentral